Molecule: unclassified non-coding RNA, 343 nt
Filed under: soil metagenome
Description: partial contains 5.8S ribosomal RNA, internal transcribed spacer 2, and large subunit ribosomal RNA
Rfam family: 5.8S ribosomal RNA (bases 1-120)
Source: RNAcentral
GAUGAAGAACGUAGCGAAAUGCGAUAAGUAAUGUGAAUUGCAGAAUUCAGUGAAUCAUCGAAUCUUUGAACGCACAUUGCGCCCGCUAGUAUUCUGGCGCGCAUGCCUGUCCGAGCGUCAUUUCAACCCUCAAGCCCCCGGGCUUGGUGUUGGGGAUCGGCGAGCCUCCGCGCCCGCCGUCCCCUAAAUCUAGUGGCGGUCUCGCUGUAGCUUCCUCUGCGUAGUAGCACACCUCGCACUGGGAAACAGCGCGGCCACGCCGUUAAACCCCCAACUUCUGAACGUUUGACCUCGGAUCAGGUAGGAAUACCCGCUGAACUUAAGCAUAUCAAUAAGCGGAGGA